GACGAACGCUGGCGGCGUGCUUAACACAUGCAAGUCGAACGGUGAAGCGCCUUCCUUUUUGGUGGGUGUGGGUGAGUGGCGAACCGGUGAGUAACACGUGAGUAACCUGCCCCCUUCUUCUGGAUAACCGCAUGAAAGUGUCGCUAAUACGGGAUAUUCUGUGUCUGUCGCAUGAUGGGUCUGUGAAAGAUUUUGUUUCGGUGGGGGAUGGGCUCGCGGCCUAUCAGCUUGUUGGUGGGGUGCUGGCCUACCAAGGCGGUGACGGGUAGCCGGCCUGAGAGGGUGGACGGCCACACUGGGACGGGGACACCGAGACGACUCCGACGGGAGGCGGCAGUGAGGAUUAGAGCAUAGUGGGCGCAAGGAUGCUGCAGCGACGCCGGGUGAGGGAUGGAGUCCGUCGUGUUGUGAACCUCUUUCGCGAGAGAAGCCGGCCCGCCUAGUGUGUGGGUGGGUUGACGGUAGCUGGAGAAGAAGCGCCGGCUAACUACGUG
RNAcentral lists this ribosomal RNA (494 nucleotides) under uncultured bacterium. RNAcentral describes it as "partial 16S ribosomal RNA". It matches the Rfam family "Bacterial small subunit ribosomal RNA", at positions 28 to 507 of the family's 1533-position model. The record is from RNAcentral.